RNAcentral lists this ribosomal RNA (420 nucleotides) under Triticum aestivum (bread wheat). RNAcentral's name for it is "partial small subunit ribosomal RNA". The record is from RNAcentral. Lineage: Eukaryota; Viridiplantae; Streptophyta; Magnoliopsida; Poales; Poaceae.
CUGGCUUGGAACUGUCGAGGAUUGGGGUUGGACUUGAUAGUUGGCGAAUUAAGGGACCUGAUACGGUCAUACAACCGAGCGAUGGUUUUUCUUUCUGAAACGAAGAAGAAGGCGAGAGCGAUGGAGAAACUUAAGUGGAGUUUGGGAUUCAGAAGUGGUGUUGCAGUAGAUUGCCAAGGAUUGAGUGGAGGCCUAGCUCUUUGGUGGAGAGAAAAUGUGCAAGUCAAGGUGAGGCCAUGGUGCCAAUAUUUCAUUGAUGUAGAAAUGAUGUGGGAGGGCAAGACUUAUAGAUUCACUGGUUUCUAUGAGGAUCCCAAGACGGACUUGCGCAAGAAGUCAUGGGAUGCAAUUCGUUUUCUCAAAGCACAAGAUGACCUCCCAUGGAUAUGUGUUGGAGACUACAAUGAGGCUCUUUUCUAA